This 160-nucleotide ribosomal RNA is filed under the name Escherichia coli. Its description in RNAcentral is "partial 23S ribosomal RNA". The record is from RNAcentral. Lineage: Bacteria; Pseudomonadati; Pseudomonadota; Gammaproteobacteria; Enterobacterales; Enterobacteriaceae.
CGAAACUUGCCCCGAGAUGAGUUCUCCMUGACUCCUUGAGAGUCCUGAAGGAACGUUGAAGACGACGACGUUGAUAGGCCGGGUGUGUAAGCGCAGCGAUGCGUUGAGCUAACCGGUACUAAUGAACCGUGAGGCUUAACCUUACAACGCCGAAGRUGUU